Molecule: ribosomal RNA, 253 nt
Filed under: uncultured bacterium
Lineage: Bacteria
Description: partial 16S ribosomal RNA
Rfam family: Bacterial small subunit ribosomal RNA
Source: RNAcentral
UACAGAGGUCUCAAGCGUUGUUCGGAUUCAUUGGGCGUAAAGGGUGCGUAGGUGGUGGGGUAAGUCGGAUGUGAAAUCCCUGGGCUCAACCCAGGAACUGCGUCCGAUACUGGAAGGCUUGAAUCCGGGAGAGGGAUGCGGAAUUCCAGGUGUAGCGGUGAAAUGCGUAGAUAUCUGGAGGAACACCGGUGGCGAAGGCGGCAUCCUGGACCGGUAUUGACGCUGAGGCGCGAAAGCCAGGGGAGCAAACGGG